Molecule: unclassified non-coding RNA, 198 nt
Filed under: rhizosphere metagenome
Description: partial ribosomal RNA internal transcribed spacer region
Source: RNAcentral
GUAGGUGAACCUGCGGAAGGAUCAUUAUCGUAGGGCUUCGGCCCUGUCGAGAUAGAACCCUUGCCUUUUUGAGUACCUUUCGUUUCCUCGGCAGCCUCGGCUGCCAAUGGGGACCCCAAAAAACACUUUGCAGUACCUGUAACAGUCUGAACAAACAAACAAAAAUUAAAACUUUCAACAACGGAUCUCUUGGUUCUG